GAUGAACGCUGGCGGCGUGCCUAAUACAUGCAAGUCGAGCGAACAGACGAGAAGCUUGCUCCUCUGACGUUAGCGGCGGACGGGUGAGUAACACGUGGAUAACCUACCUAUAAGACUGGGAUAACUUCGGGAAACCGGAGCUAAUACCGGAUAAUAUUUUGAACCGCAUGGUUCAAUAGUGAAAGACGGUUUUGCUGUCACUUAUAGAUGGAUCCGCGCUGCAUUAGCUAGUUGGUAAGGUAACGGCUUACCAAGGCAACGAUGCAUAGCCGACCUGAGAGGGUGAUCGGCCACACUGGAACUGAGACACGGUCCAGACUCCUACGGGAGGCAGCAGUAGGGAAUCUUCCGCAAUGGGCGAAAGCCUGACGGAGCAACGCCGCGUGAGUGAUGAAGGUCUUCGGAUCGUAAAACUCUGUUAUUAGGGAAGAACAAAUGUGUAAGUAACUGUGCACAUCUUGACGGUACCUAAUCAGAAAGCCACGGCUAACUACGUG
This 497-nucleotide ribosomal RNA is filed under the name uncultured bacterium. RNAcentral's name for it is "partial 16S ribosomal RNA". It matches the Rfam family "Bacterial small subunit ribosomal RNA", at positions 28 to 507 of the family's 1533-position model. The record is from RNAcentral.